UGAGCAACCUGCCCUUGACUCCGGAAUAACAGCUGGAAACAGCUGCUAAUACCGGAUACGACCUCCGAUGGCAUCAUCGGAGGUGGAAAGCUCCGGCGGUCAAGGAUGGGCUCGCGGCCUAUCAGCUUGUUGGUGAGGUAACGGCUCACCAAGGCUUCGACGGGUAGCCGGCCUGAGAGGGCGACCGGCCAUACUGGGACUGAGAUACGGCCCAGACUCCUACGGGAGCAG
Molecule: ribosomal RNA, 231 nt
Filed under: uncultured bacterium
Lineage: Bacteria
Description: partial 16S ribosomal RNA
Rfam family: Bacterial small subunit ribosomal RNA
Source: RNAcentral